CCUACGGGUGGCAGCAGUGGGGGAUAUUGCACAAUGGGGGGAACCCUGAUGCAGCGACGCCGCGUGGGUGAAGAAGCGCCUCGGCGCGUAAAGCCCUUUCAGCAGGGAGGAAAAUGACGGUACCUGAAUAAGAAGCCCCGGCUAACUACGUGCCAGCAGCCGCGGUAAUACGUAGGGGGCAAGCGUUAUCCGGAUUUACUGGGUGUAAAGGGGGCGCAGACGGCGAUGCAAGCCAGGAGUGAAAGCCCGGGGCCCAACCCCUGGACUCAUCUUGAAACUGCGUGGCUGGAGUGAAGAAGGGGAAGGCGGAAUGCCUGGUGUAGCGGUGAAAUGCGUAGAUAUCAGGAGGAACACCGGUGGCGAAGGCGGCCUGCUGGACUGCAACUGACGUUGAGGCCCGAAAGCGUGGGGAGCAAACAGGAUUAGAUACCCUUGUAGUC
This 440-nucleotide ribosomal RNA is filed under the name uncultured bacterium. RNAcentral's name for it is "partial 16S ribosomal RNA". It matches the Rfam family "Bacterial small subunit ribosomal RNA", at positions 338 to 795 of the family's 1533-position model. The record is from RNAcentral.